This is a non-coding RNA of Biscogniauxia marginata, 130 nucleotides long. The record is from the annotation of a GenBank genome assembly. Lineage: Eukaryota; Fungi; Ascomycota; Sordariomycetes; Xylariales; Xylariaceae.
GCCAGCUUGGCCGAGUGGUUAAGGUACGUUUUGGUUAAGAACUUUGCUUCAUUUCGUACUAAUUUUUCUAGGCGAUAGACUUAAGUUCUAUUAUCAUCUUGAUGCGCGGGUUCGAAUCCCGCAGCUGGUA